This 223-nucleotide ribosomal RNA is filed under the name Gymnodinium catenatum. RNAcentral describes it as "partial Archaeal large subunit ribosomal RNA". It matches the Rfam family "Archaeal large subunit ribosomal RNA", at positions 2272 to 2490 of the family's 2987-position model. Lineage: Eukaryota; Dinophyceae; Gymnodiniales; Gymnodiniaceae. The record is from RNAcentral.
AGACACCGGCCAUUUGGAGUGCCCGCAGCUUAUCCCGCGGAGCGGGAGACAAUUACAGAUGGAUAGUUUGGGUGGGGCGCCACUCCUCUGAAAAGAUAACAGAGGAAUGCAAAGGUUGGCUCAGGCAGUUCAGGAAUCUGCCGGAGAGUACCAAAAGCAAAAGCCAACUUGAAAGGAGCUUGCGUAAUGAAGGCUCCUGGUGCGAAAGCAUGUUUUAGUGAAC